UACGGGGGGGGGCAAGCGUUGUUCGGAAUUACUGGGCGUAAAGGGCUCGUAGGCGGCCAACUAAGUCAGACGUGAAAUCCCCAGGCCUCAACCUGGGAACUGCGUCUGAUACUGGAUGGCUUGAAUCCGGGAGAGGGAUGCAGAAUUCCAGGUGUAGCGGUGAAAUGCGUAGAUAUCUGGAGGAAUACCGGUGGCGAAGGCGGCAUCCUGGACCGGCAUUGACGCUGAGGAGCGAAAGCCAGGGGAGCAAACGGG
Molecule: ribosomal RNA, 255 nt
Filed under: uncultured bacterium
Lineage: Bacteria
Description: partial 16S ribosomal RNA
Rfam family: Bacterial small subunit ribosomal RNA
Source: RNAcentral